RNAcentral lists this long non-coding RNA (1121 nucleotides) under Fragaria vesca (wild strawberry). RNAcentral describes it as "long non-coding RNA (FVES_LNC002053)". Lineage: Eukaryota; Viridiplantae; Streptophyta; Magnoliopsida; Rosales; Rosaceae. The record is from RNAcentral.
GAAAUUUUCAUUGAAGAGAAAAUGCAUAUAUAAUUAAAUUCCAAAGCCCAACGAAGUACAAUCUAAAAAAAAAAAAAAACCUAAGAACUAAUGAUGGAAGCUUGAAAUUCUCAUCCAUGUUCCAUCUGUCUAGGCCUAGUUUGCUCGCUUUCUGCCUGAGACAUGUAAAAACAAGCCAUGGGGGGUUAAAUCUAACAAUCCAUGCAGAAUGUGCAAUCCAAUUUAUGGAGUCCUUCAAGUCCAAGUAGUCUCUACUGCCAGGUUUUGGAGGAUUAAUUAGGCAUUGUCACCUUCAGCAUGCAACUGUGUAGUGUCGAUGGUAUUCCUGAAAGAUUCUAGAAUGAUGAGAGCUUAUGAAUCACGAGUACAGAGCCACACCACCUUGCAGCGGCCGAAUCUUGUAAGGAAAUCCAUCAGUGCAUAAAAAUUUGUCGAGUUUGACAAGAACCAUUCUUCAUCCCAAAGUUCUGAUACCGAAAUAAUGGAUUCCUAAUGUAUGGAAUUGUGUUAUAAUAGAAACUUUGGCUUCCAAUAAACCGUUAGAAUACAAAAGGAUCGAGAUUUUGGGUAUUGAUGGUGGCCUUGAGUUCACGAUGGCAUUGCAAGUGUAGUUGCCCGAGAUGGUCAACACAGAUGUCGAUCGUUUUCAACUUAGUGGCAUCGAACACCGCUACACGCCUACACCUUCACAUUCUGGUAAAACACAUGUAAGAGAUUUGAGAUGUUAGAAAAUUUGGGUCACCCUCUGAAUUCCCUAGCCCAAGACCGAAACUGAAUGAAAACAAUAACCAGAAACAAUGUAACACGAACACAAGAUAUUUAACGAGGUUCAAUCAAAUCCACAUGACAUACGUCCUCGGGUGAUGAUGAUGGAUCCACUAAACGAGAAGAAGAUUAUAACUGAAGAACAAUUUGGUUCUUCCACCCUCAAAUAAUAUUUCUCCUCACACUCUAGACUCUCAAAUACAUCUGAUCUCACAUGGCUUGCAACUCUCAAGAUCAGAACUCUCAAAUGAUCUACAUCACACCACACCUAAAACUAUGUCUCUAAGGUCCUAUUUAUAGAUUCACAAUUAGUCCAACUUACAAUAGGAUUGAGAACCAUAGCAGGAUUCCUAAAU